Molecule: unclassified non-coding RNA, 358 nt
Filed under: soil metagenome
Description: partial contains 5.8S ribosomal RNA, internal transcribed spacer 2, and large subunit ribosomal RNA
Rfam family: 5.8S ribosomal RNA (bases 2-121)
Source: RNAcentral
GGAUGAAGAACGUAGCGAAAUGCGAUAAGUAGUGUGAAUUGCAGAAUUCAGUGAAUCAUCGAAUCUUUGAACGCACAUUGCGCCCUUUGGUAUUCCUUAGGGCAUGCCUGUCCGAGCGUCGUUUCGCAGAAUCGAGCCCAGCUCGGUGAUGGGCGCACUGUCCGGCUCCCCCGCAACGGGGAGCGGACUCGCCUCAAAGACAUUGGCGACCGGUUCCGCGGGCCCUCGAGCGCAGCAGACACGCGACUCUCGGGGCGUCCCGACGGCCGGGCAACCAGAAGCGAACGACCGUUUACCAGCUCGACCUCGGAUCAGGUAGGGAUACCCGCUGAACUUAAGCAUAUCAAUAAGCGGAGGA